GGGGUUCUGGCUCAGUGGUAGAGUGCUUGCCUAGCAUGCAUGAGGCACUGGGUUCAAUUCUCAGCACCA
RNAcentral lists this transfer RNA (69 nucleotides) under Ictidomys tridecemlineatus (thirteen-lined ground squirrel). RNAcentral's name for it is "Spermophilus tridecemlineatus (thirteen-lined ground squirrel) tRNA". It matches the Rfam family "tRNA". Rfam says of the family: Transfer RNA (tRNA) molecules are approximately 80 nucleotides in length. Lineage: Eukaryota; Metazoa; Chordata; Mammalia; Rodentia; Sciuridae. The record is from Rfam by way of RNAcentral. RNAcentral also lists the same sequence under 1 other name.